CGCGGGAUAGAGCAAUUGGCAGCUCGCCAGGCCCAUAACCUGGAGGUUCUCGGUUCAAGUCCGAGUCCCGCAA
This 73-nucleotide transfer RNA is filed under the name Pseudomonadota bacterium. RNAcentral describes it as "tRNA-Met". It matches the Rfam family "tRNA". Rfam says of the family: Transfer RNA (tRNA) molecules are approximately 80 nucleotides in length. Their secondary structure includes four short double-helical elements and three loops (D, anti-codon, and T loops). The record is from RNAcentral. Lineage: Bacteria; Pseudomonadati; Pseudomonadota. RNAcentral also lists the same sequence under 1 other name.